This 348-nucleotide RNase P RNA is filed under the name bovine gut metagenome. Its description in RNAcentral is "Bacterial RNase P class A". It matches the Rfam family "Bacterial RNase P class A". From Rfam's summary of the family: Ribonuclease P (RNase P) is a ubiquitous endoribonuclease, found in archaea, bacteria and eukarya as well as chloroplasts and mitochondria. Its best characterised activity is the generation of mature 5'-ends of tRNAs by cleaving the 5'-leader elements of precursor-tRNAs. Cellular RNase Ps are ribonucleoproteins. The record is from RNAcentral.
AAGCUGAACGGCCGCGUCGGGAGAUAUCCCGAUGAGGAAAGUCCGGGCACCAGAGAGCAGGAUAACGGAUAACCUCCGCCGGGGGUAACCUCAGGACAAGUGCAACAGAGAUAUACCGCCCGCCCUUCUGGACGGGUAAGGGUGGAAAGGUGGGGUAAGAGCCCACCGGCCUUCCGGGAGACCGGAGGGUCCUGUAAACUCUAUCCGGUGCAACACCCGAAUUGCCGCGUCCCCUCCGGGGACAGUGCUUGCUCGGCACGGCAGAAGUCGGUGGCUUGAGCCUUUCGGCGACGGAAGGCCUCAGAUAGAUGGCCGUUUUCGACAGAACCCGGCUUACAGGCUCUCCUG